RNAcentral lists this unclassified non-coding RNA (248 nucleotides) under uncultured Sordariales. RNAcentral describes it as "sequence contains 5.8S rRNA gene, ITS2, 28S rRNA gene". Lineage: Eukaryota; Fungi; Ascomycota; Sordariomycetes; Sordariales. The record is from RNAcentral.
AACGCACAUUGCGCCCGCCAGCAUUCUGGCGGGCAUGCCUGUUCGAGCGUCAUUUCAACCAUCAAGCGCCCCGCGCUUGUGUUGGAGGACUGCGGCCGCCGCAGCCUCCCAAACCCAGUGGCGGGCUCGUCGUCGUACCGAGUGCAGUAAACAUACCACGCUCAGGGCACGCGGCGGGUCACCGGCCGUUAAACCCCCCACUUCUCAAGGUUGACCUCGGAUCAGGUAGGAAUACCCGCUGAACUUAA